This 490-nucleotide ribosomal RNA is filed under the name Hemiurus levinseni. RNAcentral describes it as "partial large subunit ribosomal RNA". The record is from RNAcentral. Lineage: Eukaryota; Metazoa; Platyhelminthes; Trematoda; Azygiida; Hemiuridae.
ACGGGAAGAGUUGAACUGCAAGCCUGUAAGAUUCAGCUGGUACGGUUGGUUGGCUAGCUUUGUGGUCCAUAAAAAUAAUGGAUUGCCUCUCCUUGUGGGGGGUGACGGGUGUGUGCUUAAUAUGUGCAACUCGCUGCAUUGUUGGUGCUGCUGGGCCAGUGCACUUCUUUCAGGUCUUCAUCACGACCGGCGCUGCUGUCUGUCUGCUGUUGUCAAACCAGUCGAGCUCGGUCCUUGUGGCCUUGUUUUGCUGGGAUGGCAGGUAGCUUGUUGGCCUCUCGGGGCUUUCGAGUGUAAUAGCCGACUUCAGUGUGAGCUGUGCAGUGUGUCGGAGAUUGCGGUUGUGACGGGUGGCGUGAAUGCUGGCUUUAGUUGGCUUUGGGUUGUUCGCUUCGGUGGCUUCCUGGGGUUGGCUUCGGUUGGUUCUUUGCGUUGCUUUUAAUGGCCGAUAGUCUGUGAUGUAGUGGUAUGCUCUCUUCCCGACCCGUCU